RNAcentral lists this ribosomal RNA (305 nucleotides) under uncultured bacterium. Its description in RNAcentral is "bacterial SSU rRNA". It matches the Rfam family "Bacterial small subunit ribosomal RNA", at positions 336 to 639 of the family's 1533-position model. The record is from RNAcentral.
GCCUACGAGGCGCAGCAGUGAGGAAUAUUGGUCAAUGGGCGGUAGCCUGAACCAGCCAAGUAGCGUGAAGGAUGAAGGUUCUAUGGAUUGUAAACUUCUUUUAUAAAGGAAUAAAGUGAGGCACGUGUGCCUUUUUGUAUGUACUUUAUGAAUAAGGAUCGGCUAACUCCGUGCCAGCAGCCGCGGUAAUACGUAGGAUCCGAGCGUUAUCCGGAUUUAUUGGGUUUAAAGGGAGCGUAGAUGGGGUGUUAAGUCAGUUGUGAAAGUUUGCGGCGCAACCGUAAAAUGGCAAUGGAAACGGGCGU